AGAGACUUAGGAUAGAACCAAACCAAAAGCCUUCAAAGCUUUAAACAGGAGUGGAAAUCUCCUAGUCCCUG
This 71-nucleotide transfer RNA is filed under the name Xenomystax atrarius (deepwater conger). Its description in RNAcentral is "tRNA-Trp". It matches the Rfam family "tRNA". Rfam says of the family: Transfer RNA (tRNA) molecules are approximately 80 nucleotides in length. Their secondary structure includes four short double-helical elements and three loops (D, anti-codon, and T loops). Further hydrogen bonds mediate the characteristic L-shaped molecular structure. tRNAs have two regions of fundamental functional importance: the anti-codon, which is responsible for specific mRNA codon recognition, and the 3' end, to which the tRNAs corresponding amino acid is attached (by aminoacyl-tRNA synthetases). tRNAs cope with the degeneracy of the genetic code in two manners: having more than one tRNA (with a specific anti-codon) for a particular amino acid; and 'wobble' base-pairing, i.e. permitting non-standard base-pairing at the 3rd anti-codon position. Lineage: Eukaryota; Metazoa; Chordata; Actinopteri; Anguilliformes; Congridae. The record is from RNAcentral.